Molecule: ribosomal RNA, 445 nt
Filed under: uncultured bacterium
Lineage: Bacteria
Description: partial 16S ribosomal RNA
Rfam family: Bacterial small subunit ribosomal RNA
Source: RNAcentral
GUGAGGAAUAUUGGUCAAUGGGCGAGAGCCUGAACCAGCCAAGUAGCGUGCAGGAUGACGGCCCUAUGGGUUGUAAACUGCUUUUGUACGGGGAUAAAGGAGCUUACGUGUAAGUUUUUGCAGGUACCGUACGAAUAAGGACCGGCUAAUUCCGUGCCAGCAGCCGCGGUAAUACGGAAGGUCCGGGCGUUAUCCGGAUUUAUUGGGUUUAAAGGGAGCGCAGGCUGUCGGUUAAGCGUGUUGUGAAAUGUAGGUGCCCAACACCUGCACUGCAGCGCGAACUGGCUGACUUGAGUACGCACGACGUUGGCGGAAUUUGCCGUGUAGCGGUGAAAUGCUUAGAUAUGGCGAAGAACUCCGAUUGCGAAGGCAGCUGACGGGAGCGCAACUGACGCUCAUGCUCGAAAGUGCGGGUAUCGAACAGGAUUAGAAACCCCAGUAGUCC